This 290-nucleotide ribosomal RNA is filed under the name uncultured Mitsuokella sp. RNAcentral's name for it is "partial 16S ribosomal RNA". It matches the Rfam family "Bacterial small subunit ribosomal RNA", at positions 355 to 637 of the family's 1533-position model. Lineage: Bacteria; Bacillati; Bacillota; Negativicutes; Selenomonadales; Selenomonadaceae. The record is from RNAcentral.
UGGGGAAUCUUCCGCAAUGGGCGCAAGCCUGACGGAGCAACGCCGCGUGAGUGAAGAAGGGUUUCGACUCGUAAAGCUCUGUUGUCGGGGACGAAUGUGGAGAUGGUGAAUAACUAUUUUCAAUGACGGUACCUGACGAGGAAGCCACGGCUAACUACGUGCCAGCAGCCGCGGUAAUACGUAGGUGGCGAGCGUUGUCCGGAAUUAUUGGGCGUAAAGGGAGCGCAGGCGGGAAGGUAAGUCUAUCUUAAAAGUGCGGGGCUCAACCCCGUGAGGGGAUGGAAACUGAA